Non-coding RNA from Fundulus heteroclitus (mummichog), 864 nucleotides. Lineage: Eukaryota; Metazoa; Chordata; Actinopteri; Cyprinodontiformes; Fundulidae. The record is from the annotation of a RefSeq genome assembly.
GUUCUGGAACCGUUUGAGAAAAACCCAACCCAAUAAUAGAAACCACAUCUCUACGGGAAUGUUCUGUUGAAGGAUAGAAAAAUCAUAGACUCUUUAUAAAUCAACCAGAACCAAGAUUCUUUGGUAUUUAAUUGGCCGAGGUUCUCAUCGGGAGGGCUUGAGAAUCAGCCUUUUUCAAAUGGACCCAGUCCAGAAUGGUUCUGAUGAGUUCUUGUUGGGGAACUUCAUGUUGUGUGACUUCUGGAAAUAAGAUUUUCUUUGGAUCUGGAACCAGACUGACCAUAGAACCCAAGGAUGAACAUAAGCCGGAAGUCUACAAACUAAGUGACACAGACAAAAGCAAGACGGUUUGUCUGGCGACUGGAUUCACGAGACACAACGCAAUGAAGGACCAGGACGGGUUCAGUGGAACAGAAGCCAGUCAGAUCGUAGAGGACGGGAAACCAACCGGCAUCUAUAACCAGGUGGCCGUGCUAAACGCUGACCAAACAUGUGACACCACAGAAAAAACGCCAAAUGAGCCAUGUGUUGCCUCUCUGGAACCAGAUGAGAUGGUGAACCUGGCCUCCCUGACCGUCUUCGGCCUGAGAGUGAUCUUCAUGAAGACCGUGGUCUUCAACGUCCUGAUGACGCUGCGGCUGUGGAUCAGUCAGUGUGAGUACCGACCCUCAGAAGAUCUUCACAGUUGACCAAAUGAUCGGACUCCUGAUAAUCUGCAGCUAACAAGCUUUAAAAUGAAGCUGCUCAGGAGGAAUGAUGAACCAUGCUUUAAAUGAGGCUUGUGUUGGAGCAGGACCUGAGCUGAAGGUGGAUCUAACAGAAAUAAUGUGACUUCAAUGCUCAUUUUUUAUUUCACAAGACGUG